CAGUAGCCGCGGGAAUACGUAGGGUGCAAGCGUUAAUUGGAAUUACUGGGCGUAAAGCGUGCGCAGGCGGUUAUUCAAGACAGAUGUGAAAUCCCCGGGCUCAACCUGGGAACUGCAUUUGUGACUGGAUGACUAGAGUACGGCAGAGGGGGAUGGAAUUCCGCGUGUAGCAGUGAAAUGCGUAGAUAUGCGGAGGAACACCGAUGGCGAAGGCAAUCCCCUGGGCCUGUACUGACGCUCAUGCACGAAAGCGUGGGGAGCAAACAGGAUUAGAUACCCCAGUAGUCCCUGUCUCUUAUAC
RNAcentral lists this ribosomal RNA (301 nucleotides) under uncultured bacterium. RNAcentral's name for it is "partial 16S ribosomal RNA". It matches the Rfam family "Bacterial small subunit ribosomal RNA", at positions 509 to 807 of the family's 1533-position model. The record is from RNAcentral.